CAAACGUAUCUCCCUCUAUGAGCCAGUCCAAGCAUUAAGAUCUUCUGGGGAGGCCCUGCUCUUGGUUCCACCCCCUUCAUAGGCAUGAUUGCUGCAGAUGAGAGACAGGACCUUCUCUGUAAUGGCCCCUCAACUUUGGAACUCCCUCCCCAGUGACAUCAGAUCGGCCUCCUCCCUCCUGGUCUUUUAGAAAAAUGUGAAAUCUUGGCUUUGGAAGCAGGCAUUUGCCAAGACAUGGGAACCCACAUGAGAACCGGGAUGUGACAAGAUGAGAUGGAUGGAGAUCACUUCCUGCCUUCCAUUCAUCGCUCCAGUUUAUUUUUAGUUAAAUUUUUCAAAGAUCAGCUUCUUCCUCUAGCGGGAGGCAUCUGUCAUGUGGAAUUGGUGAGGGGGUUCCUCCAACACACUUUGCCUCUCUUCUGCAUUUGCCAUCCUAUUAGCUUCCAGACCAGUGCAUCCCCUUGUCUGCUUCAUAUUUUAUGUUUUAUUUGUCAGGCCUGGUUAGCUCUUUUCUUUUAUCCCUUUUCUCCUUCGCUCUGCCAUCCUCAAUAUUGAACUGUCAACUUCAAAUAUUAAAAUUUAACCAAGGUGC
Molecule: long non-coding RNA, 592 nt
Organism: Anolis carolinensis (green anole)
Lineage: Eukaryota; Metazoa; Chordata; Lepidosauria; Squamata; Anolidae
Exons: 2
Source: RefSeq, a predicted model, not a curated record